This 406-nucleotide ribosomal RNA is filed under the name uncultured bacterium. Its description in RNAcentral is "partial 16S ribosomal RNA". It matches the Rfam family "Bacterial small subunit ribosomal RNA", at positions 30 to 526 of the family's 1533-position model. The record is from RNAcentral.
AUUGAACGCUGGCGGCAGGCUUAACACAUGCAAGUCGAACGAGUGGCGGACGGGUGAGUAAUGCUUGGGAAUCUAGCUUAUGGAGGGGGAUAACUACGGGAAACUGUAGCUAAUACCGCGUACCAUAGGAGGAGCCCAAGUGGGAUUAGGUAGUUGGUGAGGUAAAGGCUCACCAAGCCGACGAUCUCUAGCUGGUCUGAGAGGAUGAUCAGCCACCCUGGGACUGGGACACGGCCCAGACUCCUACGGGAGGCAGCAGUGGGGAAUUUUGGGCAAUGGGGGCAACCCGGAUGCAGCCAUGCCGCGUGUCUGAAGAAGGCCUUAGGGUUUUAAAGUACUUUCAGCGGGGAGGCGUUACCCGCAGAAGAAGCACCGGCUAACUCCGUGCCAGCAGCCGCGGUAAUUC